UCCGUAGGGUCCGAGCGUUGUCCGGAAUUACUGGUCGUAAAGGGCUCGUAGGCGGCCAACUAAGUCAGACGUGAAAUCCCCAGGCUCAACCUGGGAACUGCGUCUGAUACUGGAUGGCUUGAAUCCGGGAGAGGGAUGCAGAAUUCCAGGUGUAGCGGUGAAAUGCGUAGAUAUCUGGAGGAAUACCGGUGGCGAAGGCGGCAUCCUGGACCGGCAUUGACGCUGAGGAGCGAAAGCCAGGGGAGCAAACGGG
RNAcentral lists this ribosomal RNA (253 nucleotides) under uncultured bacterium. RNAcentral describes it as "partial 16S ribosomal RNA". It matches the Rfam family "Bacterial small subunit ribosomal RNA", at positions 524 to 776 of the family's 1533-position model. The record is from RNAcentral.